Daphnia pulicaria is the source of this 1350-nucleotide long non-coding RNA. RefSeq lists it as uncharacterized. Lineage: Eukaryota; Metazoa; Arthropoda; Branchiopoda; Diplostraca; Daphniidae. The record is from RefSeq and is a predicted model, not a curated record. The transcript has 3 exons.
UUGGAUUUUCAGCUUCAAUGGCAUCGUCUCGUGGUUCUGUCAGAUUGCGUUCUCUCGGUUCCUCCGUUCUUGUGUCUUGUGGUUCGAAUUGGAUAUGUUUCUUCUGUUGUUGUGGUGUUUGCUGGUAUCGGUAGGUAUUCGCCUUGGGCGUGGUUUUGGAAUAAAAAUUGGUUUGGUCUGGUUCGGACUUCCAAGUCCUUUGAAUUUGGUCCUAUUUCGCUUUAGAGCGUCGUCUUGUUGGGUUAUACGACUAUUCUUUUGUUGAGUUCUGCUGCGCUUGAAAGGUUGGCCGGUUGCAUAAGCCCAACCUUCUCUUGGGGUAUACUUAUUCCUCGGCUUUCUCCAACUCUUUCUGUUGCUGGUCACUGGCCUUGCUGCUAGUUGGUUUUGUCUUGCCUAGCUGAUGAAAACGGGUUGAUUGUUGGCCUAAUUCUCUUGGAUGAUCCCACCUGGCUAGUGUUUUCUGCCACCACUCCUUCCAACACUUCUUCGGAUCUGCAGAUUGGUGGUACGUAUGCUCCUCUUGCUAGAUAAUGUCUACUAGGUGGGAUGUGUUUAGAAAUUUUGCCAGGGUGUCCCUGAUUUUGAACUGCGUCUUAGCUGCCAGUGCUCUGUUGAGCCCGAGUAUUUUAUUUACGUCCAUGGUCACGUUGAAGUUGGCUAGCAGCAGGCGGAUCUCUUGGCGCUGGUUUUCAGUUGCCGGGCAGUCUAUUAGGAUGUGUUUGACGUUUUCUAUUGCCUCGCAUCCCUUCCUACAGCUGGGGUCUGCCUUCUUGUCUAUUCUGUGGUUGAAAGAGUUUAGGUGGUUGUGCCCUGACCUUAGUCUAUGUAGACAGAUCGUAGUUGCUCUGUCCUUGUGAUGAAACCAGUCAGUUCGCCCUGUUUUGGUCAUUACUUGGAUGCAGGUUUUUUGGCAUUUCUUGAGAUUGCCCAGGAGAUUCUCUUUCCAGUCAGCUCUAAGUAGUCCUAUUUUUUCUGAUGGGGAGAGGGGGUAGUCCGCUUUCGUUCCUGAUGGGUUGGUGCAUUCGUAUUGUGCCAGUCUGUCCGCUUCUUCAUUUCCUUCAAUGCCUACGUGGCUUGGAAUCCAAGUUAGUGAUGUCCGGGUGCCGCUGGAGCUGAGACUGGCUAUGGUUUCUCUGAUGUGGUGCACUAUCUCGUUGUUAGCAGGGUUGGUGGAGGCGAUGGUUUUGAUUACCGAGCUUGAGUCGCAGAAUAUCAUCACUUCCGGCGGGUAUUCAUUCAAUUUGUAGGUGAGGUCCAGGGUUAAGUCGACAGCUAGUAAUUCUGCCGAGAAUAUGCUUGCUUGGUUGCUGAGGGACCAGGAUUGUGAUAGGUUCCUAUCAGGGAUGC